Molecule: ribosomal RNA, 501 nt
Filed under: uncultured bacterium
Lineage: Bacteria
Description: bacterial SSU rRNA
Rfam family: Bacterial small subunit ribosomal RNA
Source: RNAcentral
ACGGGAGGCAGCAGUGAGGAAUAUUCGUCAAUGGGCGUAAGCCUGAACCAGCCAAGUCGCGUGAGGGAUGAAGGUUCUAUGGAUCGUAAACCUCUUUUAUAAGGGAAUAAAGUGUGGGACGUGUCCUAUUUUGUAUGUACCUUAUGAAUAAGGAUCGGCUAACUCCGUGCCAGCAGCCGCGGUAAUACGGAGGAUCCGAGCGUUAUCCGGAUUUAUUGGGUUUAAAGGGUGCGUAGGCGGCCUUUUAAGUCAGCGGUGAAAGUCUGUGGCUCAACCAUAGAAUUGCCGUUGAAACUGGGGGGCUUGAGUAUGUUUGAGGCAGGCGGAAUGCGUGGUGUAGCGGUGAAAUGCUUAGAUAUCACGCAGAACCCCGAUUGCGAAGGCAGCCUGCCAAGCCAUGACUGACGCUGAUGCACGAAAGCGUGGGGAUCAAACAGGAUUAGAUACCCUGGUAGUCCACGCAGUAAACGAUGAUCACUAGCUGUUUGCGAUACAGUGUAA